AACCCUAAGUCACAAGUUGAUAAGGAGGCGGGGGGAGGGGCGCCCUUGCCCUGCUCAGCUUGAUCAUUAACCCUGAGUUUGCUCUCGGACUUGCUCUCCGAGGGGCUGCUGGCCCAGUGCUGGGCAGGUGGCCAGUCUCCGUUAACGGGUGUGCCGACACCCUCAGCUGACAGGCCUCCUGCUCCUGGCCGGCACAGGCGCAGUGCACACCCCGCUGGGGGUGGAAGCCUCCGGGAGCUGCUAUGACACAGACCACCAUGUGGCCACUAGCUCCCGGCCACCGCCACGCUGGACUCCCUCAUGCCACAACUGACUAGACUAUGCGUUACAGCAGAUACAGAGAGAGGAACUGGCCGGCUGUGAGGGUGGGGUUGCUACCUACAGCCUGCUGUUCUUGGGAUAUGGAUUUUGGUGGGUUCUCAGCUGCAGUACCUGUCCCUCUCAUUCAGCGCAGUGGGGAGUGCUUCCCAGCCUUGUCAGCUUAACAUACAAACUGGAACCAUCUGAAAGGAGGAGCUUCAAUAGAGAAAAUGUCUCCGUGAGAUCUGUACAGCAUUUUCCUAAUGAGUGAUUGAUGCGUGUGGUGCCGUCCCUGGGAGGGUGGUCCUGGGUUCUAUAAGAAAGCAGUUGAGCAAUCCAUGGGGAGCAAGCCAGUGAGCAGCACCCUCCAUGGCCUCUGCAUCAGCUCCUGCUCCAGGUUCCUGCCCUGCUUGAGUUCCUGUCCUGACUUCCUUCAUCGAUGAACAGUGCUGUGGAAGUGUAAGCUGAAUAAAACUUUCCCUUCCCAACUUGCA
Molecule: long non-coding RNA, 794 nt
Organism: Meriones unguiculatus (Mongolian gerbil)
Lineage: Eukaryota; Metazoa; Chordata; Mammalia; Rodentia; Muridae
Source: Ensembl